UACGGAGGAUCCGAGCGUUAUCCGGAUUUAUUGGGUUUAAAGGGAGCGUAGGUGGAUUGUUAAGUCAGUUGUGAAAGUUUGCGGCUCAACCGUAAAAUUGCAGUUGAAACUGGCAGUCUUGAGUACAGUAGAGGUGGGCGGAAUUCGUGGUGUAGCGGUGAAAUGCUUAGAUAUCACGAAGAACUCCGAUUGCGAAGGCAGCAUGCCGGCUUCCGACUGACGCUGAAGCACGAAAGCGUGGGGAUCGAACAGG
RNAcentral lists this ribosomal RNA (253 nucleotides) under uncultured bacterium. RNAcentral's name for it is "partial 16S ribosomal RNA". It matches the Rfam family "Bacterial small subunit ribosomal RNA", at positions 524 to 776 of the family's 1533-position model. The record is from RNAcentral.